AAGAAGGCUUCAGCUUUCACUCUAGGAUGGGCCCGCGGUGCAUUAGCUAGUUGGUAAGGUAACGGCUUACCAAGGCGAUGAUGCAUAGCCGAGUUGAGAGACUGAUCGGCCACAAUGGAACUGAGACACGGUCCAUACUCCUACGGGAGGCAGCAGUAGGGAAUCUUCCACAAUGGGCGCAAGCCUGAUGGAGCAACACCGCGUGAGUGAAGAAGGGUUUCGGCUCGUAAAGCUCUGUUGUUGAAGAAGAACGUGCGUGAGAGUAACUGUUCACGCAGUGACGGUAUUCAACCAGAAAGUCACGGCUAACUACGUGCCAGCAGCCGCGGUAAUACGUAGGUGGCAAGCGUUAUCCGGAUUUAUUGGGCGUAAAGCGAGCGCAGGCGGUUGCUUAGGUCUGAUGUGAAAGCCUUCGGCUUAACCGAAGAAGUGCAUCGGAAACCGGGCGACUUGAGUGCAGAAGAGGACAGUGGAACUCCAUGUGUAGCGGUGGAAUGCGUAGAUAUAUGGAAGAACACCAGUGGCGAAGGCGGCUGUCUGGUCUGCAACUGACGCUGAGGCUCG
This 564-nucleotide ribosomal RNA is filed under the name uncultured Bacilli bacterium. RNAcentral's name for it is "bacterial SSU rRNA". It matches the Rfam family "Bacterial small subunit ribosomal RNA", at positions 202 to 755 of the family's 1533-position model. Lineage: Bacteria; Bacillati; Bacillota; Bacilli. The record is from RNAcentral.